Molecule: long non-coding RNA, 254 nt
Filed under: Lathyrus oleraceus (garden pea)
Lineage: Eukaryota; Viridiplantae; Streptophyta; Magnoliopsida; Fabales; Fabaceae
Description: Pisum sativum (pea) long non-coding RNA (PSAT_LNC033108)
Source: RNAcentral
GGUUGAAUAAUUAUAAUUGUGAUAUUUGAUUAAAAAAAAGUUGACAGAACAAAGAAAAAAAUUAAAAAAAAUUGAAAAAGAAAAGAAGGAUGUCAUUACAUAUUCCUUUUGAUCUGAAAAAGAAAAAAAUAAAGAGAAUAAAAAGAUAAAAGACAAGAAAAAUAGUUGAGAAGUUGUUGUUUGAAAGUUAACGAAAUAUUUUUGGUUCAACUCCCGCAACUCUUUCAGUUUUCUUUUGACCCUUUGGAUUUUAG